Molecule: non-coding RNA, 415 nt
Organism: Lontra canadensis (Northern American river otter)
Lineage: Eukaryota; Metazoa; Chordata; Mammalia; Carnivora; Mustelidae
Source: the annotation of a RefSeq genome assembly
UCCUGACUUGUUCCUCAGUGCAGAGGACAGGGGACACCCUGAGGUUCCUGUCCAUCACUGUCUCACAGCUGAUUCCCUCUCCCAUGGCAGGCGGUGGAGCAGGGCUCAAGCUUUGUUGGUGGCAUGCGUGGGCAGUUCACAUCCUCUGGAUUGCCAAGUGGACAGCUCGGUCAGCUACAUCCACUGGUACCGCCACCAGGAGGGUACGGCACCGAAGAGGCUCCUCUACCUAGACAUGUCCAGGUCCCUUGUGCAAUGGGAUUUUCCCAUGAAAGCGGACAAAGUCAAUGCCGAGAAGAGCAAGGAGAGCUACAGCGGCACUCUGUCGGUGCCGAAACUGGAGAAAAGCGAUGAGGGCGUGUACUACUGCGCUGUCUGGGAAUACCACAGCCCUGUGCUGGGACCAGGUCCCUGA